UUCUAACAGGUUAUGACUGCAGUCUUUGACUUCUGUUGAGUUUCUAUAUCUACAUUGCAUUGAAGGGUUGUGUUCCAGCUAAGUGAGCCAUGGACAAAAGAGUGCUGGUGCUCCUCUUGUGCAUGCAGGCCUUCCUACUCCUCACUGCGGUGAAUUUGUCUGAUGCCGCCAUUAAGUCAGUGGGCAGUCAGCGACGUUAUCAGGGAACAGCUGCCAAAACCAAACCAAAUAAAGUACUCAAACACAUGAUGUUUUUGAGACAUGGUGCAGAAUCACCUUUGAAGGCUGGAAUCUAAACAUCAAAGUGAGAAAGGACUGGAUGAGAUGCAAGAAAAAUUGCACAUGCUUUUCUGCUCCGCUGUCUGAAGCCUUCAAUGAUGGUGCUGUCAUUUAAUGGAGGAUUGGAAGUUCUCAAAUAUUUUAUCCUGUGAAAUGUAAUUACAUGUGUGAUGCACUGCUGAUUAAACAUGUGGAAAAUGUGCUCACUUCAACCGUACCCCCCCCCCCCUUUUUUUUUUCAAUAGUCCCCCCACAUACACACACACACCCCUAUUAUACACAUAUUAAACAUAUAUAUAUAUAUAUACAUAUAUGUGCAUACACUACCAUUCAAAACUAUGUACACUACGGUUCAAAAUUUUGGGGUCGCUUACACCCCAAACUUUUGAACGGUAAUGUAUAUUUUUUAGGGCUGUCAAACGAUUCAAAUUUUAAAUCGAGUUAAUCACAGCUUAAAAAUUAAUUAAUCGUAAUUAAUCGCAAUCCAAACCAUCUAUAAAAUGACAUAUUUUUCUGUAAGUUAUUGUUAGAAUGGAAAGAGAAGACUGAUAUAUACAUUCAACAUACUGUACAUAAGUACUGUAUUUGUUUAUUAUGACAAUAAAUCCACAAGAUGGCAUUAACAUUUUUAACACUGUUAAAGCGAUCCAUGGAUAGAAAGACUUGUUCUUAAAAGAUAAAUGUUAGUACAAGUUAUAGAAAUUGUAUAUCAAAACCCCUCUUAAUGUUUUCGUUUUAAUAAAAUUUGUAAAAUUUUCAAUCAAAAAAUAAACUAGUAGCUCACCAUUGUUGAUGCCAAUAAUUACACAAUGGUCAUGGUGCUGAAACCCAUAAAAUCGGUCGCACCCAAGCGCCAGCAGAGGGUGACAAAACAUAAAAAAACACAUGUAACAAGUGGACAUGACACUGUUCUGUCAUUUUAAUCUGUUUGAGCUGGGCAUGUGCGUUAAAUGCGUCAAAUAUUUUAACGUGAUUAAUUUAAAAAAUUAAUUACCGCCCGUUAACGCGAUAAAUUUGACAGCCCUAGUAUAUUUAACCAUUUCACCAUUCUCCAAAAAUCCAGGUUUCUUAUUUGCACACUUGCAAAUUUCUUCAGCCCUUUAUAAUUGAGAGAAUAAUGUUAAAAUGCAGAAGAUGGCACCUCUUACAAGAGCUGGAAUUUUGUAACGUCAGUUAUACCCACGCACAUACACACUGAUUGACUCAAGCACAGUACUGACAUUGAAAAAAAUGUCUGCUCCAUGACAGGCCAACUUCUUGGAAAUAGUGGCUUUAAUUUACGUUUACGUUCACCUCUGCUACAUAUCAGAAAAAUCAAAUUCUGUGAUUUGUGACAUAUUAAACAAGGUUCUUUGGAUGUACACUAUAAAGGAGUUUUCUUUCCCUUUCAUUUCAUUUCAAAAAAUUCGAAGCUGUGUUCAUGCUAAAACUGUGGUUUAUGAAAAAUAAAAUAACUAAA
This is a long non-coding RNA of Corythoichthys intestinalis (scribbled pipefish), 1738 nucleotides long. RefSeq lists it as uncharacterized. The transcript is spliced from 3 exons. NCBI's taxonomy places the organism in Eukaryota, Metazoa, Chordata, Actinopteri, Syngnathiformes, Syngnathidae. The record is from RefSeq and is a predicted model, not a curated record.